GACGAACGCUGGCGGCGUGCCUAAUACAUGCAAGUAGAACGCACAGUUUAUACCGUAGCUUGCUACACCAUAGACUGUGAGUUGCGAACGGGUGAGUAACGCGUAGGUAACCUGCCUGGUAGCGGGGGAUAACUAUUGGAAACGAUAGCUAAUACCGCAUAAUAUUAAUUAUUGCAUGAUAAUUAAUUGAAAGGUGCAAUUGCACCACUACCAGAUGGACCUGCGUUGUAUUAGCUAGUAGGUGAGGUAACGGCUCUCCUAGGCGACGAUACAUAGCCGACCUGAGAGGGUGAUCGGCCACACUGGGACUGAGACACGGCCCAGACUCCUACGGGAGGCAGCAGUAGGGAAUCUUCGGCAAUGGACGAAAGUCUGACCGAGCAACGCCGCGUGAGUGAAGAAGGUUUUCGGAUCGUAAAGCUCUGUUGUAAGAGAAGAACGGGUGUGAGAGUGGAAAGUUCACACUGUGACGGUAUCUUACCAGAAAGGGACGGCUAACUACGUG
RNAcentral lists this ribosomal RNA (505 nucleotides) under uncultured bacterium. RNAcentral describes it as "partial 16S ribosomal RNA". It matches the Rfam family "Bacterial small subunit ribosomal RNA", at positions 28 to 507 of the family's 1533-position model. The record is from RNAcentral.